RNAcentral lists this ribosomal RNA (407 nucleotides) under uncultured bacterium. RNAcentral's name for it is "partial 16S ribosomal RNA". It matches the Rfam family "Bacterial small subunit ribosomal RNA", at positions 30 to 526 of the family's 1533-position model. The record is from RNAcentral.
AUUGAACGCUGGCGGCAGGCCUAACACAUGCAAGUCGAGCGGAGCGGCGGACGGGUGAGUAAUGCCUAGGAAUCUGCCUGGUAGUGGGGGAUAACGUCCGGAAACGGGCGCUAAUACCGCAUACUAUCAGAUGAGCCUAGGUCGGAUUAGCUAGUUGGUGGGGUAAAGGCCUACCAAGGCGACGAUCCGUCACUGGUCUGAGCGGAUGAUCAGUCAAACGGGAAAUGAGACACGGGUCAGAAUCCUACGGGAGGCAGCAGUGGGGAAUAAGUGACAAUGGGCGAAAGCCUGAUCCAGCCAUGCCGCGGGUGUGAAGAAGGUCUUCGGAUUGUAAAGCACUUUAAGUUGGGAGGCGUUACCAACAGAAUAAGCACCGGCUAACUUCGUGCCAGCCGCCGCGGUAAUUC